Molecule: transfer RNA, 61 nt
Filed under: Vaejovis smithi
Lineage: Eukaryota; Metazoa; Arthropoda; Arachnida; Scorpiones; Vaejovidae
Description: tRNA-Pro
Source: RNAcentral
CAGAAGAUAGUUAAUAUAUAACAUUAAUUUUGGAGAUUAAAAUAAAUUUUAUUUCUUCUGA